UCCAACUCACGACCCCAAGAUCAAGAGUCGCUCGCUCUUCCAGCUGAACCGGCCGGGCGCCCAGCUGGUGCCAUUCUGAACAGGCUCCUACGCCUGCUCCCUCAUCUCCCAAGCCAGCAGCCAAAGAUCUAAAAAUCUGCCAAGUUUAUGCCCCUAGCAGUUGUGAAUUUCCCCUUCGUGUCCCAUGUGGCUCAUGUCUCUGUCACUGCUUUCUGAAGGAGGACUAAACUUAGUACUAGUUGUCACAAAGGCGUGAAGCUGAGGGUGAUCUAAUAGCCUCUCCUUGCCAACUUGCAAGCUGCCACGUGGGUCUGUCACAGCUUCGUGGGGAGACAUGCGCAGAAGACACAGACUCCCAGGUCAGAGACGAAGGACUCCGGUCCCUUCCGUGAGAGCCAGAGGUAGAGGAUCCAAGUCGCCGCGGCCCAGGACGUAAGCCAGGGAUAUGACAAACAACCUUGCUCAGACAAACUCUCCAGUUUAAAAAAGCUAAAAUGUGGAAUAAUUUCUUAAAAGCAUUGAAGGCCUGACAAAGGAGGAGGCCACCAAGUUAAUUACUCAAAGAAAAUGAGGAAAAGAGGUUUUCUUGCAGCCUACAGUCAUAUGAUUCUCAAUGCUAUCUUCUCUGCAGCAGUUCUAUUAUAAUGAAGGGUUCUGGACUGAAAAGCAAAAUAAAACUUCCACAUCCAGGAGAUGUCUCCUAAUAAUCAACAUAAUUCAAUUGAACAUGUCAAUAAAAUGGGUAAGUUAACACCUACUCCCAUAGCAGCAAAUUACUUAACAGGUAGUAGUGUUUUCCCUUUUUCUUAAUCACACACAAAAAAAGUACAUUAAAUUUUUUGAGGAAAAAAAUUUUUUUUGAAGAAAAAACAAUUAACCCAAUAUUCCCUAUAAUCCCCCUAUCCCCACAUAAGCAGUUUUAUUUCAGAAUUACUACUUUUCAGUUUGUCCUUGUGCACAUAUAUUUUCACACAGCUAUAAUCACUGUACAAGUUUUUAUUUUGUUUUUAUAUUUAAACUUUGUUCAACAUAGUCCAUGUUUUUACAGUCAUCCUAAUUAUACCUUUUUAAAGGCUGCAUAAUAACAAUAACAAUCCCCAUUGAUGUGUUAUAUGAUUUAGUCAUUCAAGUUGGACACUGGGUUGGGUUGAGGUUGGACAUUUGGGUUCCUCCAUGGCUUCCUACUACACAUACUGUUACACCUGUAUAGACUUUCUAAAACUUAUUCACCUCUCAAAUUAUUUUCUAAGGGUAAAUUAUCCAAUAUUGGUAAUUAGUGGGUAUAUUUUUGUGGCUCUUGAAAAAUCACCAUAGUGCUUUUCCUAAAGGCAAAAACCAAAGUACAAGAUUGCUAGUAGUACAUAUAUGGGCAUCCACUUCAUAACCACCCCACUAGCAGUGGGCAUUCAUGUUAGGUAACUUAGAAUUCAAUAAAAAAUUUACCCCCGGAAAACUCCUCAAUGACAGAUUCUGGAGAAUCUAGACUUUCACUUACCAUCUUGCUUGUUGCUUCAGUAAGUUUUCAUUCCCAUAGUGUAUAAAAGCUAAGUCAAUGAAGUUUAUUAAUGUCUGUUUCAUUAAAUCAUCUUGUGUUUCUUUUUUAAGUCCUUCAAUUCUGCUCUUGUUAUAGUGGAAAGGAUUAUUAUAAUUUUCACUAACAGAGAACAGCUACAAAUUACAGAGGGUUGAUAAGGCAACCAGAUUGUGUAAUGGCAAGAAAACACCUGGUUGGUGGGCUCACAAGACCAUUCCUCACCCCACCCCCAAUCUCUUUUGUGUUCGUGAACACUGGAAAGGCUUCCUCAGUCCCACAUAAAAACAAGCCAAUCCUCAUUCAACCCUGUGGCCCCUUCAUUUUACUCUGUUUACAUUGGAGUCCCCUCCCCCCUUUUUAAAUAUUUUAUUUAUUUAUUUAUUCAUGAGAUACAAAGAGAG
Long non-coding RNA from Canis lupus familiaris (dog), 1935 nucleotides. RefSeq lists it as uncharacterized. The record is from RefSeq and is a predicted model, not a curated record. The transcript has 3 exons. Lineage: Eukaryota; Metazoa; Chordata; Mammalia; Carnivora; Canidae.